AAGAUUGUUGGUUAGGUGUUCAAAUAACGUUUUAUAGUUUUCACAUUUAGGUGAAAAUGUGAAUUGAUGAUCCGACCGUUGGAUCAUCACCAAACUUUGAUACGUUAUAGUACGUAAUAUUUGAGGAUUAUUGGAACUUACGGAUUGGGAAUCCGAGUUACGGAUCUUCCGGAAUUGGAAUUGUAAGUCCAUAAUAUAAAAUGUUAACCGUCACUUAGUUUUGGAAAUUGACGGAAAUCCAACCGUUGGAUGGUAAUGAAAUUUUAGGAUGUUGUCCUAGAGGUAUAAUGUGGACCUCUGGAAGUUAUGGAUUUAAAAUCUGAGUGGCAGAUCUUCCGGAUCGAACUACGUAGUGACGUAUUUUAUAUAAGUUAAAUAUUCUAUCGAUAUGAAUUCUGAGGUUGGAUUUGAUUACUAUUCUAGGCGGCGAUCGUCGUGACGCCUUGAUGUGUGGUGCUAGGGAGUUGUUGGAUGAACUCCAGGUGAGUGGGCAGUUUUGUUUUCCGUAUAUAUAUAUAUACUUAACGUUUUCCCAGAAAUUGAAAAUGCAUGAAAUUAUGUUUAAAAUGGAAUGCAUAUGAGUUAUGUGGAAAAACGGGAAGUGAAAUACCAUGCAUAGAAUUGAUAUGAAAAGUAUAUAGAAAUGUGAGUUGAAAUGCCAUGCAUGAAUUAAUAUAUGAUGCAUAUGUAUGAAUUGGUGCGGUGGACGCACAGGUAAGAAUUGAUUUAUGAUGCAUAUGUAUGAAUUGGUGCGGUGGACGCACAGGUAAGAAUUGAUUUAUGAUGCAUAUGUAUGAAAUGGUGCGGUGGACGCACAGAUGAGUAUUUAAUUACUGUUAUGAUGAUGAUGAUAUAUAUCGAGCUCAAAUCCUGCACCAUGGUUUAGUGCUUAUAGUAUUCACCGCAUCGCACGCUCGCCUUGGAUCCAAGUAGAUGCUAGUCGUACAGUCCACGCGGAGUGGGUACGACAGACCAGUCGCGAGAGUGUUAGUGAGAUUCCGACUGGUGGGUGACCUUAGAUUAUGUGCACAGCUGAUUUAUGAGAAGCACUAGAGCGUAACUUGUGUGCAGAAGGCCGGACGGGUCACAGAGGUGACUCCGGUAGAGUGAUAAUGAUAGAUUUUGAGCUCUAGGUUCAACCGUAUAGGGCUAUUAGAGGGCCUACGGUUGAUUACUUUCUUGCACCUGAUAUGAUUAUGUUGAUGCAUUCAUACCUUAUUACUGUUGAGAUGAUGUGGCAUGGCAUAAUUAAUAUAUGAGAAAUGUUGAGAUGACAUGGCAUGGCAUGAUUGAUAAAGAGAUAAUGUUGAGAUAGUAAAAAUGAAGUUUUGAGAAUAUAUAUGUAUAUUUAUAUUUUACAUUUCUGAGAAAGUAUACAGGUUUUACGGAGAGGGGUUACAACGUUUUGAGAAAUGUUUGGAUUUGGAAAAGAAUUGUUUUACUGACCCACUCAAUUUUGGUUUUGCGCCCCUCCAGGUUCAGGAAUCACAAAGGUGUGGUGACUACGAGGAAUUCGACGGUGUUCUGACAGAUUGGACAAAAUUAGGACUCACCUUCGGGUGUAUCAACUUAUAAAUUGUAUAAUUAAAGCUUCCGUACUGUGCAAAUGGUUACGUCACUCUCACGUGACGGCCAGCAUGCCCUCCUUCGGGACGGGGUGUGUGUCAGUUGGUAUCAGAGCAUGGUUGCAAUCUUGGACAUUUUGAGAAGUUCUAGUGAAUUCUGUCAGAACUACACCGCCUCGUAGCAAACCACGUAGUUAGAGGAAUUUAGUCUCCCUGAUUUAGCGGUUUGGGGGAAACUAUUAUUAUGGUGAUUCAGUAUAUUAUCAAAAUGGACAUUUUAAGACGGGUUAUGAGUUGAAUUUGAAUCACCUUAUGAAAUGAUGAACCUGAGGGAGCGGAGUGACGGUUUAACCAAUUGGAAAAGAUGUUUCAGAUUAUGCAAGUCAAAGGAAAUUUCCUUCUGACAGGUGGGUCGAGACGACUACCUGGUUUUGGGUAUGAAAUUGUAUCCUGGUGGAAACAGGAAUGUUAAUUGUUGUCACCAGAGGAAUCAGCCGAUUUAAAAUUUUUUAAGGAAAAGUUUAUCCCUCCGGCAUUUAUUGAUGGCAGUAAACAAGAGUUUACAAAUAUGAGACAAGGAAGGUGAUGAUCGAGGGAUAUUAUAGAAAGUUUUCAGACUUGCCUCGUUCCAUCCAGAUAUUGUUGUUAAUUUGGUGGAGGUGUUAUGUUGUUUUAAGCUGGGUGGCAAAAAGGGAAGUGGUAUUUUGGGUGACCACUAUCCAUUGUAGUUCUUAUCAGGAGUAUGCUAGAUGUUGUUGAGCCUUGAGGACUCUGAGAACAUGAGCAACGAGAAUAAAGAAGAAUAAGAAAAGAAUGGGAAUUAAAAGAAGACAAUAAAGUUAAUGAUUCGUCAUAUCAAGAAUAUCGAAGGAUUCAGAGCUUCGAAAGAAGUGAAGCUAGAGUUAAUUCUUCCAGCUGAGGUUUUAAUGUCGCUGGUCAGAGUAAAAGUGAUGGAUAUACUGGUAAUCCCAGAUAUUUGAGACAAGGUGUCUCGAGUAAAGGAAAUGUACUUUGGUGCAGCAGGUACAAAAUUAACACUUUGGGAAAUGUGAAAUUAAUGAAUGUGUUUAUGUGAACAGAGGGGACACAGAAUUGUGAAUCGUCCCUAGAAUCAGUUGUACUCAAUAAUUUUCCAUGAUAUCAUAGUGUCGAUUCAGCAGAGUUAUGGACUUAGUAGUUUGGUCGGAUUGACCGUGAGUACAGAGAGAUUUGAUGAGUUAUAUGUUCAGCUGUACAGACCAUGAGAAGUGGAUUCGAUUGACACAUGAGAAAUUAGUGAGUUAUAGGCUCGGCCGUACCGACCACGCGGAGUGGAUCCGGCCGACGUAUUAUUGAGAUAAGAGUUGAAUCAACCGUAUUGGUCAUUCUAGUUGACUUCGGCUGAUAUAUUUCUUAUUAUGUAUGAUAUUACCUAGAGAGUGGUAAAUAAAUGUAGUUGAGACGAGUGUAUGUAUUUUGCAUUGAGUGACAAAAUAGUAAUGUUAUAUCUUUGUGAGUGGUUGCCUACUUAUCGAGACAACGAUGAUUUAUCAGUAUUGCGGGCUGCAGACCGUAAUAUUAAUAACUCAUUCGUGGAUUCGUUAAGCAAGCAAACCGGUAGGUUAUUUUAUGUUAAUGUUGUACUUAUUUAGAAUGUUCAGUAUUAAUAAAGUAUGUAUUGUGUCGGUUAAAUUAUUUCCAUUAGAGUGGUUGGUUAUAAUUGUGACUAAAUGGAUUGUUACGGGAAACCAGUCACUUUCCAUCGAUCUGGAUGACCAGAGAUUACUUUUGUAAGUAUGCAAAGUGAAGUGAGUUCAGCCAUUAUUUAUGCUGUGAAAGCAAAGAGAUUGUUUUGAAAGGCUGUCAAAAAUACUUAGCUCAUGUGGUGCUAAAUGAUGUUGUUUGGAGUAGUGUGAAUAAUGUCGAAAGGGUUAGACUUUUCUUGAUGUCUUCUCUGAAAGUAUACCUGGAUUGUCUUCAGGCAGAGAUAUGAGGUUCAUUAUUGAUUUGUUGCCAGGUAUAAAUUUUUAUGUUAAAGAUUGGUUCAUGAUGAGUUAAGGGAAUUGGAAAUUCAGUUGAGAGAAUUGGUUGAUAAAAGUUUUAUUCAACCUAGUACAACACUUUUGAGGAGCCCCAGUUUGUUGGUGAGGAAGAAAAUGGAUCUUGAGACUGUUCAUUGAUUAUAGACAAUGGAGUCGGGUAACGAUUGAGAAACCGUUAUCCAUGGUGAUGUACUGAUGUUUAUUUAAACCAGCUCAGAAGUAAUAAUUGCGAAGAUUCAAAGAUUGAAUUGAGGUCUGGUUAUUACCAAUUAAAGAUUAUGAGCGACGUUGUUCUUAAGAUUGUUUUUAUGAACUAUGGUGUGAUGCUAUAUGGAUACUCAUGCUGUUUUAUGAGUUAUUGGAUGAAGUAUUCCAAUAAUGCCUUGAUAAAUUGAUAUCAUUUCCAUUGAAGAUAUUCUGGCAUAUUCUGAACCAGAGCAGAGUAUGUAAACGUAUUAAGUCAAUGAAGCAAAGAUUGAGAGAACGUUAGUUGUAUGCUAAGUUUAGCAAAAGCUAAAGUUAAAUGGAUCAAGUGGCAUUCUAAAAUUUGUUAUGUCUACUUAAGGUAUUCAAGUGAAUCCUUAAAGGAUAGCAGAAAUUGAGAAUUUGGAACAACCACGAGUCGUAAUUGAGAUUUGGAAUUUCUUAGCUUACCAGGCUAUUUUGGAUGGUUGUGAAAGAAUUUUUAGUCAUUGCUUUGUCAUUAACGAGACUGAUGAGAAAAGAGGUUAUGUAUGAGUGGGAAGGAAUUGUAAGCAAAGGAUUCAACAACUGAAGUAUUUCCUCACUCAUGCACGUAUUUUGGUAUUCCCAGAGAAUAGUGGUAAUCAUAAAUUUUUGGUGAUGUUACAUUAAAUGUUCUUGGAUAUGUACUAAUGCAAAUGUUAGGGUGAUUGCAUACGUUUCACGACAAAUGGAAUCUCAUGAGAUGAAUUACCCUACUAGUGAUUUGGAAGUCACGAUUACCAUCCUUGCUGUGAAGUUAUGGAGACAUUAUAUUUUAGUGAGAAUGUAAGAUUUUACAAAUCAAAAGAGUCUUCAAUAUCCAUUACUUGGAAGGAUUUUGAUAUGAGGCAGCGAAAGUGAAUUGUAUUGCUUAAUGAACAUGAUUGUACGAUCAGGGUGAUCGUAAAGUUUGUUCUAGCUGAAGCACUUGAUAAGAAGACUGCAGUAAGAAUUAAUAUCUAGUACGCUUGCCAAGAUUAUCUUCUUGUGGAUUGGAAAUCAACUAAAGUAAAGUUAAGAAUGAAAGAUCGAGAAGAAGUUAUACUUGCUAAGUUUCAAGUUAGGCCUUUUGGUAAGGUCGUACUCGAGACUCAAAUGGUAUGUGGAUACAAGAAAACAAAAAGUAUGUGCCUAAUGCUGAGGAUUUGAAGCAAGCAAAUAUUGGACGAAGUUCACUGUUCAACUUCUGCAAUAUUCCGAAAGUAAUAAGGUUUAUCAUACCAUUCGACAUUUUUAUUGGUCAGCAGAUUGAGGCAGAAAGAAAUAAACCUUUGGAUUGAGACAGCUAUUUUCUGUUUCGAAACGGAAAUGGAAAGAGAAUUGGAUUACGGAACUGCUAAGUUUCUUAAGUAUGUUGGUUGCGCAGUUUCCCGAAGUGAAGCCAUAAGGUUCAUGAAGUGUGUCAUGUGUGUGUUUUGUUGACUUGUGAAUGGAAUAUUUCUGGGUAGAGAAAGAUUCGAUCGAGAAAGAGUUUUAGUAGACCCUGAGACUAUGGAUGAGUCUCCUCAAAGUAUUCAGGUGAUUAAGUUAACCUAAAAGUAACCAGGAAUGACAAAAGACAUCAACAGAUGGAUAUGCCACUAAUCGAGUAUAUAAGGCAAAUGGUUUUAUAUUUUAGAAGUGUUCACCUUAGAAAAGUAGAAUUUGGAUUGGAAAAAGAAGGUCCUGAGAGUUAAGAUAGAGUAAAUGGUAAAAGUUUUGUGAAGGAAUCAUUCAGUGGAAGAAAAUUACGUGGGAGAAAAAGAAUCGGAUGAAAGAAACUUACCGAGGUUGGUAUAAGUGUUUGAUGAAUUGGUUGGUUGCUGGAAUUUCGGGGACGAAAUUCUAUAAGGAGGGAAGAUUGUCACAAGCCCGUUCCAAAUUAUUAUAUUCGUGGCUGUGAAUGGACGAAAUUGCCCUUAAGAAAUACUAAAUUUGUGAAGCUCAGGUUGCUAAUUAUCUAGGUUCCUAAGUUUGAAAAUAAAAUGGAAUUUAAUAAGGAUGGAACUUAGAUUUUUUAGGUUAAAAUGUUAAAGUUUGGUGUUUGGAGAUUGGAAUAAGGACCACGUGGGAUCCCCACAUCCCUCAAAACCCUCCUCAUUUCCCGUUCACUGUCUUUCUCUCUCCUCCUUCACGAUUUCUCACUCUCUCUGUCUCUCUCUCCUUCGAACUCACACGGACCACCACCAAAACCACCCUAAAUCUAUACCAACGUCAAGUUUGAGACCACCAUUGGAAUCCUGAGGACUUCACGAUCACGUUGGUAUCCAUUUCAGGUAAGUUUUUACUUCGGAAAAACCUAGAUUCUAAACUCCCCAUGAAAGUGUACUGUUCAUGAGCUUUGAAUUGGUUGAUUUUUAGGACAAUCCAAGCUCAUAGUGAGCUUAGUGAGGUCCCAAGGAAGCUCGGAGUGCUUCGUUGGAAGUUUCUGGACGUAAGAACACGGAGAUCGACAAGUUCAAAGUUUGGCCGGAGCUUUCGAGGCUUUUUCCGGCAAAUCCCCGGCGAGUUAGGAGUCGAGGUAGGUAUCAAUCUCUUCGUCUCGUCAAGUACUACAACUUUCCUUUUUAUUUCACUCAAUUUCGUUGAGUAUUGAAGAAGUUAUACUCAUUUGAAAAAUACCCAGUUUCCGGCGACCUCCGAGGCUUUCGAGGCAGUUUCCGGCCAAACCACGGCGAACUAGGUGUUGUGCAAGGUACCAUUCUCUUUGUAUCUUCAAGGGCUACAACUUUAGUUUUUGAAUCACUUGAUUUCGUUGAGAAAUGACAAAGUUAUGGCAAUUUGAAAAACUGCCCGGAAAACGGCCGCCGGAAAAACCAGUCCGGCGACCCAAGGAAGAAGAAGGUGCUACAGUAAAAAUAAAAAAUAAAAAUAAAAUUAUUUUAAAAAUAUGUCGACGUCCGUGACGUCGAGUAGAUCACUGUGGUAUAUUCAUAUACCUAAAUUGAACACCGUAUGAGAAAGUUAUUGAAGAUUGUUUGGUUAGGUGUUCAAAUAACGUUUUAUAGUUUUCACAUUUAGGUGAAAAUGUGAAUUGAUGAUCCGACCGUUGGAUCAUCACCAAACUUUGAUACGUUAUAGUACGUAAUAUUUGAGGAUUAUUGGAACUUACGGAUUGGGAAUCCGAGUUACGGAUCUUCCGGGAAUUGGAAUUGUAAGUCCAUAAUAUAAAAUGUUAACCGUCACUUAGUUUUGGAAAUUGACGGAAAUCCAACCGUUGGAUGGUAAUGAAAUUUUAGGAUGUUGUCCUAGAGGUAUAAUGUGGACCUCUGGAAGUUAUGGAUUUAAAAUCUGAGUGGCAGAUCUUCCGGAUCGAACUACGUAGUGACGUAUUUUAUAUAAGUUAAAUAUUCUAUCGAUAUGAAUUCUGAGGUUGGAUUUGAUUACUAUUCUAGGCGGCGAUCGUCGUGACGCCUUGAUGUGUGGUGCUAGGGAGUUGUUGGAUGAACUCCAGGUGAGUGGGCAGUUUUGUUUUCCGUAUAUAUAUAUAUACUUAACGUUUUCCCAGAAAUUGAAAAUGCAUGAAAUUAUGUUUUUAAAAUGGAAUGCAUAUGAGUUAUGUGGAAAAACGGGAAGUGAAAUACCAUGCAUAGAAUUGAUAUGAAAAGUAUAUAUAGAAAUGUGAGUUGAAAUGCCAUGCAUGAAUUAAUAUAUGAUGCAUAUGUAUGAAUUGGUGCGGUGGACGCACAGGUAAGAAUUGAUUUAUGAUGCAUAUGUAUGAAUUGGUGCGGUGGACGCACAGGUAAGAAUUGAUUUAUGAUGCAUAUGUAUGAAAUGGUGCGGUGGACGCACAGAUGAGUAUUUAAUUACUGUUAUGAUGAUGGAUGAUAUAUAUCGAGCUCAAAUCCUGCACCAUGGUUUAGUGCUUAUAGUAUUCACCGCAUCGCACGCGCUCGCCUUGGAUCCAAGUAGAUGCUAGUCGUACAGUCCACGCGGAGUGGGUACGACAGACCAGUCGCGAGAGUGUUAGUGAGAUUCCGACUGGUGGGUGACCUUAGAUUAUGUGCACAGCUGAUUUAUGAGAAGCACUAAGAGCGUAAACUUGUGUGCAGAAGGCCGGACGGGUCACAGAGGUGACUCCGGUAGAGUGAUAAUGAUAGAUUUUGAGCUCUAGGUUCAACCGUAUAGGGCUAUUAGAGGGCCUACGGUUGAUUACUUUCUUGCACCUGAUAUGAUUAUGUUGAUGCAUUCAUACCUUAUUACUGUUGAGAUGAUGUGGCAUGGCAUAAUUAAUAUAUGAGAAAUGUUGAGAUGACAUGGCAUGGCAUGAUUGAUAAAGAGAUAAUGUUGAGAUAGUAAAAAUGAAGUUUUGAGAAUAUAUAUGUAUAUUUAUAUUUUACAUUUCUGAGAAAGUAUACAGGUUUUACGGAGAGGGGUUACAACGUUUUGAGAAAUGUUUGGAUUUGGAAAAGAAUUGUUUUACUGACCCACUCAAUUUUGGUUUUGCGCCCCUCCAGGUUCAGGAAUCACAAAGGUGUGGUGACUACGAGGAAUUCGACGGUGUUCUGACAGAUUGGAC
This 8309-nucleotide long non-coding RNA is filed under the name Malus domestica (apple). RNAcentral describes it as "long non-coding RNA (MDOM_LNC018971)". Lineage: Eukaryota; Viridiplantae; Streptophyta; Magnoliopsida; Rosales; Rosaceae. The record is from RNAcentral.